This 103-nucleotide transfer RNA is filed under the name Sclerotinia nivalis. It matches the Rfam family "tRNA". From Rfam's summary of the family: Transfer RNA (tRNA) molecules are approximately 80 nucleotides in length. Their secondary structure includes four short double-helical elements and three loops (D, anti-codon, and T loops). Lineage: Eukaryota; Fungi; Ascomycota; Leotiomycetes; Helotiales; Sclerotiniaceae. The record is from Rfam by way of RNAcentral.
GGGCUUCUGGCGCAAUGGCAACGCGUUUGACUUCGACUUCUAUAUGAAAAUUAUAGCUGAUAACGACAUCAAAAGAUUACAGGUUCGAGUCCUGUGGGGCUCA